CGAAUGGGUGAGUAACACGUUCUUAAUCUACCUUUUAGAUUGGAAUACCCAUUGGAAACAAUGGCUAAUGCCGGAUACGCAUGGAACCGCAUGGUUCCGUUGUGAAAGGCGCUGUAAGGCGCCACUAAAAGAUGAGGGUGCUGAACAUUAGUUAGUUGGUGAGGUAAUGGCCCACCAAGACUAUGAUGUUUAGCCGGGUCGAGAGACUAAACGGCCACAUUGGGACUGAGAUACGGCCCAAACUCCUACGGGAGGCAGCAGCA
RNAcentral lists this ribosomal RNA (263 nucleotides) under uncultured Mycoplasma sp. RNAcentral's name for it is "partial 16S ribosomal RNA". It matches the Rfam family "Bacterial small subunit ribosomal RNA", at positions 99 to 355 of the family's 1533-position model. The record is from RNAcentral. Lineage: Bacteria; Bacillati; Mycoplasmatota; Mollicutes; Mycoplasmatales; Mycoplasmataceae.